GGGGUAUGUAGCUCAGUGGUAGAGCGCCCGCUUUGCAUGCGGAAGGCCCGGGGUUCGAUCCCCCGCAUCUCUA
Nematostella vectensis (starlet sea anemone) is the source of this 73-nucleotide non-coding RNA. NCBI's taxonomy places the organism in Eukaryota, Metazoa, Cnidaria, Anthozoa, Actiniaria, Edwardsiidae. The record is from the annotation of a RefSeq genome assembly.